Molecule: non-coding RNA, 234 nt
Organism: Pelobates cultripes (western spadefoot toad)
Lineage: Eukaryota; Metazoa; Chordata; Amphibia; Anura; Pelobatidae
Source: the annotation of a GenBank genome assembly
CCAGCCACAUGAGGUCUAGCAUUGUCUUGCAUUAGGAGGAACCCAGGGCCAACCGCACCAGCAUAUGGUCUCACAAGGGGUCUGAGGAUCUCAUCUCGGUACCUAAUGGCAGUCAGGCUACCUAUGGCGAGCACAUGGAGGGCUGUGCGGCCCCCCAAAGAAAUGUCACCCCACACCAUUACUGACCCACUGCCAAACCGGUCAUGCUGGAGGAUGUUGCAGGCAGCAGAACGU